GAUGAACGCUGGCGGCGUGCUUAACACAUGCAAGUCGAGCGAAGCACUUAAGAAUGAUUCUUCGGAUGAAUUCUUUUGUGACUGAGCGGCGGACGGGUGAGUAACGCGUGGGUAACCUGCCUCAUACAGGGGGAUAACAGUUAGAAAUGGCUGCUAAUACCGCAUAAGACCACAGUACUGCAUGGUACAGUGGUAAAAACUCCGGUGGUAUGAGAUGGACCCGCGUCUGAUUAGGUAGUUGGUGAGGUAACGGCCCACCAAGCCGACGAUCAGUAGCCGACCUGAGAGGGUGACCGGCCACAUUGGGACUGAGACACGGCCCAGACUCCUACGGGAGGCAGCAGUGGGGAAUAUUGCACAAUGGGCGAAAGCCUGAUGCAGCGACGCCGCGUGAAGGAUGAAGUAUUUCGGUAUGUAAACUUCUAUCAGCAGGGAAGAAAAUGACGGUACCUGACUAAGAAGCCCCGGCUAACUACGUGCCAGCAGCCGCGGUAAUACGUAGGGGGCAAGCGUUAUCCGGAUUUACUGGGUGUAAAGGGAGCGUAGACGGCUGUGCAAGUCUGAAGUGAAAGGCAUGGGCUCAACCUGUGGACUGCUUUGGAAACUGUGCAGCUAGAGUGUCGGAGAGGUAAGUGGAAUUCCUAGUGUAGCGGUGAAAUGCGUAGAUAUUAGGAGGAACACCAGUGGCGAAGGCGGCUUACUGGACGAUGACUGACGUUGAGGCUCGAAAGCGUGGGGA
Molecule: ribosomal RNA, 739 nt
Filed under: uncultured bacterium
Lineage: Bacteria
Description: bacterial SSU rRNA
Rfam family: Bacterial small subunit ribosomal RNA
Source: RNAcentral